GGCCACGGUGCGAGUAGGUGUCUAGAUAAAGCAGCUCUGACUGACUCUCACUGCCUCAGAUGGUAACAGCGGCUCCCAGGCAUUCCCAGUCACCUGUUAACGUUGACGCUUCAGUACUCUCAUGCUAUUUGUCAUGUAGAGAAUACAGCUGGCUCUGGAGCUUGCAGGCCCAUGUGUAGGUAUGAACAGGAACUUUGUUGCUGGAAUCACCACACAGGGGAUGUGGGACACUCUGUAAUGGCUGUUGAGAUUAGUUAGAGACAUUUUGCUCUGUCAUAGGAGACAUACGUUGGAGGCAUGGUGUCCGCCAUCUUGGGAAGGUAGUUGCUCAAACAGAGCUCGCCGAGAUUCCCAACAGGCCUCAGCUCCUCCAGUUUUAGAUGUCUGCGGUGUAGGUGCCCCUGAGAUGUAGAGUGCUGUGUUAAUCUACUCCAACCGGGGAGGCAUGGGGAUCGAUUCAGGGGCUUCUGAAUCAGCCGCUUCCCUCUUACCUGCGUCUCCAGGUAGGCCGCAAGGCUUCCACGAUAACAAACGCAUUUAAAUAUGUUGAUGACACACACUUGGUGGGCCUGCACAGUAGCUGAAGAGCCCCAGUAUUAAUAUAGGGCCUGUAAGCCCCUAAAAUGGAGAAAAUAAAGCAAUCUGCAUGGAGCUCAGACAAGAUGUGGCAGAGCAGCUAGGCAGUCAAGCCCCACGCUCUAUGUUAAUUCCCAGCUUUGGGAAGGGUGAGCAUGGGACAGGAAUGGGUUAGGAAUAGGGUACAUGUGGAUAGUAAUAGCAUACAGGCAAGUAAAUAAUGCAAUUAGUGAAACUGAUCCCAUACCUGGCCGUAAGGGUAAG
This is a non-coding RNA of Pelobates cultripes (western spadefoot toad), 840 nucleotides long. Lineage: Eukaryota; Metazoa; Chordata; Amphibia; Anura; Pelobatidae. The record is from the annotation of a GenBank genome assembly.